CCUACGGGAGGCAGCAGUGAGGAAUAUUGGUCAAUGGACGAGAGUCUGAACCAGCCAAGUAGCGUGAAGGAUGACUGCCCUAUGGGUUGUAAACUUCUUUUAUAUGGGAAUAAAACGUUCCACGUGUGGGAUUUUGUAUGUACCAUAUGAAUAAGGAUCGGCUAACUCCGUGCCAGCAGCCGCGGUAAUACGGAGGAUCCGAGCGUUAUCCGGAUUUAUUGGGUUUAAAGGGAGCGUAGGUGGAUUGUUAAGUCAGUUGUGAAAGUUUGCGGCUCAACCGUAAAAUUGCAGUUGAAACUGGCAGUCUUGAGUACAGUAGAGGUGGGCGGAAUUCGUGGUGUAGCGGUGAAAUGCUUAGAUUUCACGAAGAACUCCGAUUGCGAAGGCAGUUCACUGGACUGCAACUGACACUGAGGCUCGAAAGUGUGGGUAUCAAACAAGAUUAGAUACCCUUGUAGUC
This 460-nucleotide ribosomal RNA is filed under the name uncultured bacterium. RNAcentral describes it as "partial 16S ribosomal RNA". It matches the Rfam family "Bacterial small subunit ribosomal RNA", at positions 338 to 795 of the family's 1533-position model. The record is from RNAcentral.